This 502-nucleotide ribosomal RNA is filed under the name uncultured Glomus. RNAcentral describes it as "SSU rRNA". It matches the Rfam family "Eukaryotic small subunit ribosomal RNA", at positions 569 to 1074 of the family's 1831-position model. Lineage: Eukaryota; Fungi; Glomeromycota; Glomeromycetes; Glomerales; Glomeraceae. The record is from RNAcentral.
AGCAGCCGCGGUAAUUCCAGCUCCAAUAGCGUAUAUUAAAGUUGUUGCAGUUAAAAAGCUCGUAGUUGAAUUUCGGGGUCAGUAGAUUGGUCGUGCCACUGGUAUGAACUGGUCUUACUGAUUCCUCCUUCUUGACGAACUGUGAUGUCAUUAAUUUGGUGUUGCAGGGAAUCAGGACUGUUACUUUGAAAAAUUAGAGUGUUUAAAGCAAGCUAACGCUUGAAUACAUUAGCAUGGAAUAAUGAAAUAGGACGUUUGAUCCUAUUUUGUUGGUUUCUAGGAUCGACGUAAUGAUUAAUAGGGAUAGUUGGGGGCAUUAGUAUUCAAUUGUCAGAGGUGAAAUUCUUGGAUUUAUUGAAGACUAACUACUGCGAAAGCAUUUGCCAAGGAUGUUUUCAUUAAUCAAGAACGAAAGUUAGGGGAUCGAAGACGAUCAGAUACCGUCGUAGUCUUAACCAUAAACUAUGCCGACUAGGGAUCGGAUGAUGUUAAUUUUUAAUGA